AUGGACAUACAGAGUCAGUCCAUUGACAAUUCUUUUGCACAGCAGAAGUUUUUAAUUUUAAUGACUUUCUGUCAUUGUAUCUCUUAAUGAAAAAGUUGAAGGAGAGAACCACUUUCAGAGAAUGCCGAGAGAACUCUGGAUGAAGACGUACCUUAUGCAUGUGUGUGAUCAUGUGCAGGUGUGCAUGUGAGCAUAUGACUGCAUAUUCUUCUCCGUGUAUGCAUGAAACACAUUCCACUAUGUGUUUCUGAAGGUGGGGCUCUCCUGAUGGAUCUGGGGUCCAUUGUAAGACCCAGUUAAGAGUUUCACAGUCACUGCCCACUCUCAAGGAAGUUAGUGUAUGUCCCCCUUAGAAGCUGCCUUACGGCAUUCACGAAAAUUAACUCAAAGUUUAUCAUAGACCUAAAUGAAAAGUGAGUAUAAAAUUUCUAGAAGAUAAUACAGGAGAAAAUCUAGAUGACCUUAAGUUUGGUGAUGACUUGUUAGAUACAACACCAAAAGAACAAUCCUUGAAAGAAGCAAUUGAUAAGUUCUGUGUCAUUAAAAUUAAAAAUUUCUGCUCUGCAAAAGAAUUGUCAAGAGAAUGACAAUACAAGCUGCAGACUGGGAGAACAUAUUUGCAGGGAACAUAUCUGAUAAAGGACUUACAUUCAAAAUACACAAAGAACUGUUAAACUCGACAAUAGAAAACAACUCAAUUAAAGAAUGGGCAAACAAUCUGAGCAGACACCUCACCAAAGAAAAUAUACACAUAGCAAAAAAGAAUAAGGAAAGAUGCUCCACAUCAUAUGACAGUAGCAAUUUCAAAUUAAAACAAUAGUUGUUUUUUUUUUUUUUUUUUUUUUUGAGACAGAGUCUCGCUCUGUUGCCUGGGCUGCAGUGCAGUGGCCGGAUCUCAGCUCACUGCAAGCUCCGCCUCCUGGGUUCACGCCAUUCUCCUGCCUCAGCCUCCCGAGUAGCUGGGACUACAGAGCGCCUGCCACCUCGCCCGGCUAGUUUUUUGUAUUUUUUAGUAGAGACGGGAUUUCACCAUGUUAGCCAGGAUGGUCUCGAUCUCCUGACCUCGUGAUCCACCCGUCUCAGCCUCCCAAAGUGCUGGGAUUACAGGCUUGAGCCACCGCGCCCGGCUAAAACAAUAGUUGUGUACCACAACCCACCUAUUAGAAUGAGUAAAAUCCAAAACUGACAACACCAAAUGCUGACAAGGAGGUGGCUCAACAGGAACUGUCAUUCAUUGAUGAGGGGAAUGCAAAACGGCACAGCUACUUUGGAAGGCAGAUUGGAGAUUUCUUGCAAAGCUAAACAUAUUCUUACCAUGUGAUACAGCAAUCAUGUUCUUCUGUAUUAACCCAAAAGAGUUGAAAACGUAUAGCCAUACAAAAAAUUUCUGCACAGAUAUUUAUAGCAGCUAUGUAUUCAUAGUUGCCAAAUCUUGUAUGUAACCAAGAUGUUCUUCAAUAAGUGAAUGGAUAAACGAACUGUGUUAUGUUCAUACAAUGAAAUACGGUUGGGCGUGAUGGCUCGUACCUGUAAUUACAGCACUAUGGAAGGCCAAGGCACGUGGAUCAGUUCAAGUCAGGAAUUUGAGACCAGCCUGGCCAACAUGGCAAAACCCCAUCACUACUAAAAAUACAAAAAUUAGCCAGGCAUGGUGGCAUGCGCCUGCAGUUCCAGCUACUUGGGAGGCUGAGGUGGGAGAAUUGAUUGAACCUGUGAGAUGGAGGUUGCAGUGAGCUGAGAUGGAGCCACUGCACUCCACCCUGGGUGACACAGUGAGACUUUGUCUCAGAAAGCAAGCAAAAAAAAAAUCUAUCUAUCUAUCUAUCUAUCUAUCUAUCUAUCUAUCUAUCUAUCUAGAUAUAAAAUUUGGCAAUAAAAAGAAAUCAGGCCUCAGAAAGACAUGGAAGACCUGAAAUGUAUAUAGCUAAGUGAAAGAAGCCAGUCUGAAAAGGGCACAUACUAUGUGAUUCCAACUAUAUGACAUUCUGGAAAAAUGAAACUGUGAAGACAGUACAAAGAUAGUAGUUGCCAGGAGUUUAGGGAGGAGGAAGGAUGAAUAGGUGCAGCACGUGGUUUUAGGGCAGAGAAACUAUUCUGUGUGAUACUGAAAUGGUGCAUAAUAUUAUGCCUUAUUCAAAACCCAUAGAACUGUACACAGAAAAAAUAAAACCUAAUGUAAACUAUAGACUUUGGUUCAUAAUAAUAUAUCAAUAUUGGUUAAUCAUUGUAACAAAGGUACCAUACUUAUAAAAGAUGUAAGGGGAAAAAGAAGUAUAUAGGAACUUUCUUCCAUUCCAAGAUGGUCAAAUAGGAACAGCUGCAGUCUGCAGCUCCCAGAGAGAUCGAUGCAGAAGAUGAGUGAUUUCUGCAUUUCCAACUGAGGUACCUGGUUCAUUUCAUUGGGACUGUUCAGACAGUGGGUGCAGCCCAUGGAGGGUGAGCCAAAGCAGGGCAGGGUAUUGCCUCACCCGGGAAGCACAAGGGGUUGGGGGAUUUCCCUUUCCUAGCCAAGGGAAGCCAUGACAGUGUGUACCUGGAAAAUUGGGACACUACCGCCCAAAUACUGUGCUUUACCAACAGUCUUAGCAAAUGGCACGCCAGAUUAUAUCCCAUGCCUGGCUCAGCAGUUCCCACACCCACGGAGCCUUGCUCACUGCUAGUGCAGCAGUCUGAGAUCGAACAGCGAGGUGGCAGCCUGGCUGGGGGAGGAGAGUCCACCAUUGCUGAGGUGUGGGUAGGUAAACAAAGCAUACAGGGAAGCUCAAACUGGGUGGAGCCCUCCUCAGCUCAGCAAGGCCUCAGCAUUCCACCUCUGGGGGCAGGGCAUAGCUAAGCAAAAGGCAGCAGAAACUUCUGCAAACUCAAACGGCCCUGUCUGACAGCUCUGAAGAGAGCAGUGGUUCUCCUAGCAUGGUGUUUGAGCUCUGAGAACGGAUAGACUGCCUCCUGAAGUGGGUCCCUCACCCCGAUGUAGCCUAACUGGGAGACACCAGGAGGGGCCGACUGACACCUCAUACAGAUGGGUGCCCCUCUGAGAUGAAGCUUCCAGAGGAAGGAUCAGGCAGCAAUAUCUGCUGUUCUUCAGCCUCCACUGGUGAUACACGGGAAAACAGGGUCACGAGUGAACCUCCAGCAAACUCCAAUGGACCUGAAGCAGAGGGACCUGACUGUUAUAAGAAAAACUAACAAACAGAAAGGAAUAGCAUUAACAUCAACAAAAAGGACAUCCACAUCAAAAAAACCCCAUCUGCAGGUCACCAACAUCAGAGACCAAAGGUAGAUAAAACCACAAAGAUGAGAGAAACCAGAGCAUAAAACCUGAAAAUUCUAAAAGCCAGAUCACUUCUUCUCCUCCAAAGGAUCACAGCUCCUCACCGGCAACGGAACAAACCUGGGCAGAGAAUGACUUUGAUGAGAUGACAGAAGUAGGCUUCAGAAGGUUGGUAAUAACAAACUUCAAGCUAAAUGAGGAUGUUUGAACUCAUCACAGGGAAGCUAAAAACCUUGAAAAAGGAUUAGACAAGUGGCUAACUGGAAUUAACAGUGUAGAGAAGACCUUAAAUGAAUGGAGGGAGCUGAAAACCAUAGCAUGAGAACUACGUGACACAUGAAAAAGCUUCAAUAGCCGAUUCAAUCAAGUGGAAGAAAGGGUAUAAGUGAUUGAAGAUCAAAUUAAAGAAAUAAAGU
Long non-coding RNA from Macaca fascicularis (crab-eating macaque), 3687 nucleotides. Lineage: Eukaryota; Metazoa; Chordata; Mammalia; Primates; Cercopithecidae. The record is from Ensembl.